GAUGAACGCUGGCGGCGUGCCUCAAACAUGCAAGUCGAGCGGGGCUAUGUAAUAUCGCAAGGUAGAACAUAGCCUAGCGGCGAACGGGUGAGUAACACGUGGGUAACCUGCCUGGAAGACGGGGAUAACGAUUCGAAAGGGUCGCUAAUACCUGAUAAUAUCCUUUCAUCGCAUGGUGAUAGGAAGAAAGGGGAAACCCGCUUUCAGAUGGGCCCGCGUCCCAUCAGCUAGUUGGUAAGGUAAAGGCUUACCAAGGCGACGACGGGUAGCCGGUCUGAGAGGAUGUACGGCCACACUGGGACUGAGAUACGGCCCAGACUCCUACGGGAGGCAGCAGUUGGGAAUCUUAGGCAAUGGACGAAAGUCUGACCUAGCGACGCCGCGUGAGGGAAGAAGGCCUUCGGGUUGUAAACCUCUGUCAUGGGGAAGGAAGUAAGUGACGGUACCCCAAGAGGAAGCCCUGCUAACUACGUG
This 474-nucleotide ribosomal RNA is filed under the name uncultured bacterium. Its description in RNAcentral is "bacterial SSU rRNA". It matches the Rfam family "Bacterial small subunit ribosomal RNA", at positions 28 to 507 of the family's 1533-position model. The record is from RNAcentral.